GUUCCCUUAGUUAAAUGGAUAUAACAGGAGCCUCCUAAGCCCCAGUUGUGGGUUCGAUUCCCGCAGGGAACGUCA
Molecule: transfer RNA, 75 nt
Filed under: bacterium 1xD42-87
Lineage: Bacteria
Description: tRNA-Arg
Rfam family: tRNA
About the family: Transfer RNA (tRNA) molecules are approximately 80 nucleotides in length.
Source: RNAcentral